Molecule: microRNA, 20 nt
Filed under: Oryza sativa (Asian cultivated rice)
Lineage: Eukaryota; Viridiplantae; Streptophyta; Magnoliopsida; Poales; Poaceae
Description: osa-miR2098-3p
Source: miRBase by way of RNAcentral
CGGUUUGUCAAGCGGAGUGC